UACGAAGGGGACUAGCGUUGUUCGGAAUCACUGGGCGUAAAACGCUUGUAGGCGGCCACGCCAAGUCGGAUGUGAAAUCUCCCGGCUUAACUGGGAGGGGUCAUGCGAUACUGGCGGGCUCGAGGCAGGUAGGGGGAAGCGGAAUUCCCGGUGUAGUGGUGGAAUGCGUAGAUAUCGGGAAGAACAUCGGUGGGCGAAGGCGCUCUGCUGGACCAUAACUGACACUCAGGGACGAAAGCUAGGGGAGCGAAUGGG
RNAcentral lists this ribosomal RNA (255 nucleotides) under uncultured bacterium. Its description in RNAcentral is "partial 16S ribosomal RNA". It matches the Rfam family "Bacterial small subunit ribosomal RNA", at positions 524 to 776 of the family's 1533-position model. The record is from RNAcentral.